Molecule: long non-coding RNA, 429 nt
Organism: Oreochromis aureus
Lineage: Eukaryota; Metazoa; Chordata; Actinopteri; Cichliformes; Cichlidae
Source: Ensembl
UACGUGUUGUGUUAUCAGUUGCAACGUUUGAUCACACGAUCGUGAAGGCAAGAAGCCGGAUAAUGGGCUCUCUUUUCAUCGUUUUUCAACCUGGAGGCAAUGUGAAGGAUCCCAUGUAUCCGAUAUUACUAAACAAAGACGUCAGGCUUGCAUUGCAGCGGUGAGACGAGCGGAUCGAGUUCUGUGCAAUCCCCAGCUUUUUGUUGGUUUGGUCUCCGCAUCUUCUUUCCGGUACUGCACUCACAACGACUGAAUGAAACUGCACUGUGACCUCGUUGUGUGGACACAGAGAGACCUUCUGUCAUACGCAUCUUCCCUGAUGUGGAUUUCUGGGAACCACGUUUAAAUGUCUUGUCUACAGACCAAGUUCCUUCCGUUUCAUCUCCUUCAGCAUCACCAAUAUCCUCCUCCUCCUCUGCACACUUAUCC